This 785-nucleotide ribosomal RNA is filed under the name uncultured archaeon. RNAcentral's name for it is "bacterial SSU rRNA". It matches the Rfam family "Archaeal small subunit ribosomal RNA", at positions 105 to 879 of the family's 1478-position model. The record is from RNAcentral.
CGGCCCCUUUUGGGCGGGAAUCCCCGGGAACUGGGGUUAAUCCUCGAUAGGUGAAGAUUCCUGGAAUGGGUUUUCGCCCAAAAGACGUUUAGGUCAUGCUUCUAGACGUUGCCCAAGGAUGGGGCCGCGGCCGAUCAGGCUGUUGGUGAGGUAAUGGCUCACCAAACCUUUGACCGGUUCGGGCCGUGGGAGCGGUAGCCCGGAGAUGGGCACUGAGACAAGGGCCCAGGCCCUACGGGGCGCAGCAGUCGCGAAAACUUCGCAAUAAGCGAAAGCUUGACGGGGCCAUCCCGAGUGCCAUCUGCUGAGGAUGGCUUUUACCCAGUAUAGAUAGCUGGGGGAAUAAGGAGAGGGCAAGUCUGGUGUCAGCCGCCGCGGUAAUACCAGCUCUCCGAGUUGUGGGGACGUUUAUUGAGCCUGAAGCAUCCGUAGCCGGCUGUGCAAGUCCUCUGUUAAAUCCAGCGAUAAAUCGUUGGCCUGCGGGGGAUACUGCUCGGCUAGGGGGCGGGAGAGGCCGUCGGUAUUCUUGGGGUAGGGGUGAAAUCCUAUAAUCCCAGGAGGACCACCAGUGGCGAAGGCUGUCGGCUAGAACGCGCUCGACGGUGAGGGAUGAAAGCUGGGGGAGCGAACCGGAUUAGAUACCCGGGUAGUCCCAGCUGUAAACGAUGCAGGCUAGGUGUUAGGGCGGCCACGUGCCGCUCUAGUGCCGCAGGGAAGCUGUUAAGCCUGCCGCUUGGGGAGUACGGCCGCAAGGCUGAAACUUAAAGGAAUUGGCGGGGGAGCAC